RNAcentral lists this long non-coding RNA (291 nucleotides) under Homo sapiens (human). RNAcentral describes it as "non-protein coding lnc-SULF1-68:1". Lineage: Eukaryota; Metazoa; Chordata; Mammalia; Primates; Hominidae. The record is from RNAcentral.
AAAGAAAAUAUGCAAGGCUGGAUUCAACUUCAUCUACAAAGAGAACUUUGAUAACUGCACAAUCAUCAAUCAUUCUCAGAGAACAGAAAGCUCCAGUUCAAGCCUAUUAUCUACUAAAGGACUCAUCUUAGCCCUGUGAUUAAAAAGAAUUGAUUACUUCGGCUGUUUCUUAUAGCAAGAUCUUUACUUUCAUCUAAAAUAGUGCUCUUAUAUUUCACACUGAGUUUCAAAAUUCCAAAGAGGAGACCUGUACACUACUGUGAUUUGAUGUGAUAGAAUGCCAAAGUGGGG